Molecule: microRNA, 24 nt
Filed under: Homo sapiens (human)
Lineage: Eukaryota; Metazoa; Chordata; Mammalia; Primates; Hominidae
Description: hsa-miR-6854-5p
Source: miRBase by way of RNAcentral
AAGCUCAGGUUUGAGAACUGCUGA